RNAcentral lists this ribosomal RNA (829 nucleotides) under uncultured bacterium. RNAcentral's name for it is "bacterial SSU rRNA". It matches the Rfam family "Bacterial small subunit ribosomal RNA", at positions 601 to 1431 of the family's 1533-position model. The record is from RNAcentral.
GCUGNGGCUUAACCAUAGUACGCUUUGGAAACUGUUUAACUUGAGUGCAGAAGGGGAGAGUGGAAUUCCAUGUGUAGCGGNGAAAUGCGUAGAUAUAUGGAGGAACACCGGUGGCGAAAGCGGCUCUCUGGUCUGUAACUGACGCUGAGGCUNGAAAGCGUGGGGAGCGAACAGGAUUAGAUACCCUGGUAGUCCACGCCGUAAACGAUGAGUGCUAGGUGUUAGGCCCUUUCCGGGGCUUAGUGCCGCAGCUAACGCAUUAAGCACUCCGCCUGGGGAGUACGACCGCAAGGUUGAAACUCAAAGGAAUUGACGGGGGCCCGCACAAGCGGUGGAGCAUGUGGUUUAAUUCGAAGCAACGCGAAGAACCUUACCAGGUCUUGACAUCCCGAUGCCCGCUCUAGAGAUAGAGUUUUACUUCGGUACAUCGGUGACAGGUGGUGCAUGGUUGUCGUCAGCUCGUGUCGUGAGAUGUUGGGUUAAGUCCCGCAACGAGCGCAACCCUUAUUGUUAGUUGCCAUCAUUCAGUUGGGCACUCUAGCGAGACUGCCGGUAAUAAACCGGAGGAAGGUGGGGAUGACGUCAAAUCAUCAUGCCCCUUAUGACCUGGGCUACACACGUGCUAUAAUGGCUGGUACAACGAGUCGCAAGUCGGUGACGGCAAGCUAAUCUCUUAAAGCCAGUCUCAGUUCGGAUUGUAGGCUGCAACUCGCCUACAUGAAGUCGGAAUCGCUAGUAAUCGCGGAUCAGCACGCCGCGGUGAAUACGUUCCCGGGCCUUGUACACACCGCCCGUCACACCACGAGAGUUUGUAACACCCGAAGUCGNU